GGAACAACCCCGGGAAACUGGGCUAACUCUUGNAUAGGCGAAGAACUCUGGAAUGAGUCUUUACCUAAAUAGUGCAACGUUAUGCUCGUUGCAUCGCCCAAGGAUGAGGCCGCGACCGAUCAGGUUGUUGGCGAGGUAAUGGCUCACCAAGCCUUUUACCGGUGCGGGCCGUGGGAGCGGGAGCCCGGAGAUGGGCACUGAGACAAGGGCCCAGGCCCUACGGGGCGCAGCAGUCGCGAAAACUUUGCAAUAAGCGAAAGCCUGACAGGGCUAUCCCGAGUGCCAUCCGCUGAGGAAGGCUUUUACCCAGUCUAGAACGCUGGGGGAAUAAGGAGAGGGCAAGUCUGGUGUCAGCCGCCGCGGUAAUACCAGCUCUCCGAGUGGUGUGGAUGUUUAUUGGGCCUAAAGCAUCCGUAGCUGGCUAAGUUAGUCCCUUGUUAAAUCCACCGAAUUAAUCGUUGGAUUGCGGGGGAUACUGCUUGGCUAGGGGACGAGAGAGGCAGACGGUAUUUUCGGGGUAGGGGUGAAAUCCUAUAAUCCCGGGAAGACCACNAGNGNCCGAAGGCUGUCUGCUAGNACGCGCCCGACGGUGAGGGAUGAAAGCUGGGGGAGCGAACCGGAUUAGAUACCCGGGUAGUCCNAGCUGUAAACGAUGCAGGCUAGGUGUUUGGACGGCCACGUGCCGUUCUAGUGCCGCAGGGAAGCUGUUAAGCUUGCCGCCUGGGAAGUACGGUCGCAA
RNAcentral lists this ribosomal RNA (739 nucleotides) under uncultured archaeon S30-22. RNAcentral describes it as "bacterial SSU rRNA". It matches the Rfam family "Archaeal small subunit ribosomal RNA", at positions 123 to 846 of the family's 1478-position model. The record is from RNAcentral.